CCUACAGGAGGCAGCAGUGAGGAAUAUUGGUCAAUGGGCGCGAGCCUGAACCAGCCAAGUCGCGUGAGGGAAGACGGUCCUAUGGAUUGUAAACCUCUUUUGUCGGGGAGCAAAAGACGCCAUGCGUGGCGUUCCGAGAGUACCCGAAGAAAUAGCAUCGGCUAACUCAGUGCCAGCAGCCGCGGUACUACGGAGGAUGCGAGCUUUAUCCGGAUUUAUUGGGUUUAAAGGGUACGCAGUGGGAAGAUCAAGACAGCGGUAAAAUUGAGAGGCUCAACCUCUUCGAGCCGUUGAAACUGGUGUACUUGAGUGAGCGAGAAGUAUGCGGAAUGCGAGGUGUAGCGGUGAAAUGCAUAGAUAUCACGCAGAACUCCGAUUGCGAAGGCAGCAUACCGGCGCUCAACUGACGCUCAUGCACGAAAGUGUGGGUAUCGAACAGGAUUAGAUACCCUUGUAGUC
RNAcentral lists this ribosomal RNA (459 nucleotides) under uncultured bacterium. RNAcentral describes it as "partial 16S ribosomal RNA". It matches the Rfam family "Bacterial small subunit ribosomal RNA", at positions 338 to 795 of the family's 1533-position model. The record is from RNAcentral.